GGGCAUACAAUCCUAACUUUUCCAUAGAAGCCUCGUGAUAGCAGACAACGAAAUUUCAAUCCCUGUUAUGGUGAAGGCCAGAUUCAAAAGAAGGGGGAAAAUAAAGAAAUUGUUGCUCCAAUCAGAAAAUCAGAGCAAACUGAGAAGAUGUUAGGCGGGAGGUUGACAAAUACUAAAACACAAAUGAAAAUCAUUACUCAGAAAUCCUUUGCAUCUGAGAGAAUCAGAUUCAAU
This 234-nucleotide unclassified non-coding RNA is filed under the name Hevea brasiliensis (rubber tree). The record is from RNAcentral. Lineage: Eukaryota; Viridiplantae; Streptophyta; Magnoliopsida; Malpighiales; Euphorbiaceae.